CAAUAUGUUUAAGAAAAGGAUGCACAAGAACCAUAAUUACAUGUGAGUACUAUAAUGAUCAACUUCAAUUACCAUGGUGGGGUGUCUUGCUGGCGUGUGGUCUCGCACUUUUUUUCACCCUCCCUAUUGGAGUCAUCACUGCUACAACAAAUCAGGUAUGAUAUUAGUAUAAGCCAAUGAAGCAUUUCUUGUGUACUUACGUGAACAUUGUAGGAUUUGGUGUGGACUUGGGAUGCUUCUGCAUAUUAUACAUUUCCACCAUCAUUAGUUUCAGCUAAAAUUAUUUAGACUGAAAAUGGAGAAGUGGCAAUAGUAUGAUGGUUGGCAGUUGUUUUCUUCUGCUAUUAUGAAGCUUGUAGCAUUGUAACAUGAAUUUUCUUUGUCGAACAGACACCAGGCUUAAACGUGAUAACAGAGUAUAUAAUUGGGUAUUUGUACCCAGGAUUUCCUGUUGCUAACAUAUGCUUUAAAGUAUAUGGAUACAUCAGCAUGAAACAAGCGAUCACUUUUUUGCAAGAUUUCAAGCUCGGUCAUUACAUGAAGAUUCCUCCUAGGGCCAUGUUCAUGGCACAGGUAAAUUAACUCACUAUGGGUUGUUCUUCAGGUCUUCCCAGGUAACAAAAGGAAAAGAAAAUUACUCUUGUUUUUGCCGUCGGUUUCUGGCAGCAAAACAAUCACUGUGAAUUUAAAGAUCUGUGUAUGAUUUUUUUUUCCUUCAGGUGGUUGGUACAAUAAUAUCAGCAAUGGUUCAUUUAGCAACAUCAUGGUGGCUUAUGGACACCAUCCCCAAUUUAUGUGACCGUGAAUUACUUCCAGCAGGAAGUCCAUGGACCUGUCCAGGUGACCAUGUGUUCUAUGAUGCGUCUGUCAUCUGGGGACUUAUAGGCCCCCGCAGAAUUUUUGGAGAUCUUGGUCACUACUCUGCCAUGAACUGGUUAUUUUUGGCUGGUGCCAUAGCUCCUAUUCUAGUUUGGAUUGCACACAAGGCUCUCCCUAACAAGCAUUGGAUUAGAUCCAUCUCUAUACCAGUACUUUUAGGUGCUACACACGAGAUGCUGCCAGCUACUGCCGUCAACUACACUACCUGGGUUCUUGUUGGAUUUGCCUCGGGCUUUAUUGCUUUCAGAUACUAUCGUGACUGGUGGAGCCGCCACAACUACGUUCUGUCCGGGGCACUCGAUGCUGGACUAGCUUUCAUGGCAGUGUUUCUGUAUUUGUGCUUGGGAAUGCAACAUGUUAGUCUUGACUGGUGGAGAAAUGAUUCAGAUGGAUGCCCAUUAGCUUCUUGCCCAACUGCAACAGGGGUUGUCGUUAAAGGUUGCCCAGCCCUCUGAGUCUAAGUAAUGGAUUGGAUUAUUAUCCCCAAGAGAAAGAGAUCAAAAGAAGUAAUGUAGAUAUGGCACAGUAAUGCAAUCAAAUUUUAUAUUAA
This 1429-nucleotide unclassified non-coding RNA is filed under the name Hevea brasiliensis (rubber tree). The record is from RNAcentral. Lineage: Eukaryota; Viridiplantae; Streptophyta; Magnoliopsida; Malpighiales; Euphorbiaceae.